RNAcentral lists this ribosomal RNA (503 nucleotides) under Enterococcus faecium. RNAcentral describes it as "partial 23S ribosomal RNA". It matches the Rfam family "Bacterial large subunit ribosomal RNA", at positions 1 to 499 of the family's 2925-position model. Lineage: Bacteria; Bacillati; Bacillota; Bacilli; Lactobacillales; Enterococcaceae. The record is from RNAcentral.
GAUAAGGUUAAGUGAAUAAGGGCGCACGGUGGAUGCCUUGGCACUAGGAGCCGAUGAAGGACGGGACUAACACCGAUAUGCUUUGGGGAGCUGUACGUAAGCUAUGAUCCAGAGAUUUCCGAAUGGGGGAACCCAGCAUCUUUAAUAGGAUGUUACGAUUGUGUGAAUACAUAGCACAUUCGAGGUAGACGCAGAGAACUGAAACAUCUAAGUACCUGCAGGAAGAGAAAGAAAAUUCGAUUCCCUGAGUAGCGGCGAGCGAAACGGGAAAAGCCCAAACCAACAAGCUUGCUUGUUGGGGUUGUAGGACUCCAAUAUGGUCGUUCUUUCAGAUAGUCGAAUGACUUGGAAAAGUCAGUCAAAGAGGGUAAAAACCCCGUAGACGAAAUGUGGAAGACACCUAGGAGGAUCCUGAGUACGGCGGAACACGAGAAAUUCCGUCGGAAUCCGGGAGGACCAUCUCCCAAGGCUAAAUACUCCCUAGUGACCGAUAGUGAACCAGU